GCGGCGUGACCGGAACGGUAAAACGACUGACUUGUAAUCAGUAGGUCCCGGGUUCGACUCCUGGUGCCGGCACCA
This 75-nucleotide transfer RNA is filed under the name Pseudomonas sp. R2-60-08W. RNAcentral describes it as "tRNA-OTHER". The stretch from base 9 to 72 matches the Rfam family "tRNA". From Rfam's summary of the family: Transfer RNA (tRNA) molecules are approximately 80 nucleotides in length. Their secondary structure includes four short double-helical elements and three loops (D, anti-codon, and T loops). The record is from RNAcentral. Lineage: Bacteria; Pseudomonadati; Pseudomonadota; Gammaproteobacteria; Pseudomonadales; Pseudomonadaceae.